This is a long non-coding RNA of Tribolium castaneum (red flour beetle), 776 nucleotides long. RefSeq lists it as uncharacterized. The record is from RefSeq and is a predicted model, not a curated record. The transcript has 4 exons. Lineage: Eukaryota; Metazoa; Arthropoda; Insecta; Coleoptera; Tenebrionidae.
CCAAAUUAUUAGUAAGUAAUCCUUGAUUGUGUAUCAGUGUUUUUAUUUUAGAUCUCAUUGCCACAUUAAAUUGCCACGUUAGCAAAAUAGUAUUCUGCUAUUGAUCUCAGAUCAUUUAUUAAGUGUAAGAAAUUUUGUGAAACACCACACAAUAUUAACUCACAAUAUUGCACCAUUAAUCGUAAAGAGUGAAAUGAAGAAAAAUGAUGAUCAUCGAAAAGAAAACGACAGACGACCACUUCUGUACAUAAGAUGGCACUUUUUUAAAAAAGACUGCAAGGAUAUUUUUCUUAUAAUUUGUGGUUCCGCAGUGAUUUUUCUUAUUUUAUUAUAUUUUUUGCCCUACCGACUUUUUUCAGCAUAAUAUGGAUUCAACACCAUUUUGGAAAUUCUGCAAAGACGACUGUAAAGAAAUUAUGGUGGUUCUAGGAAUCGUAACAAUUUGUGUGCCAAUCUCCUUGCUUAUAGUUUAUUGGCUUCAGCGUUUUUUAAAAAAUUCAAGAGAAGAUAAUUCACAAAUUCAUCAAAAUAAACACAAAAAUGAAGAACCUCAGGAAACUAAUAAAGGAUCAAGACUAAAAUUUACAGUAGAAGAUCUUCAACUUGGAAAAAACAGUUACUAUGUAUUUAAGAAUUUCACUUAAAAAUGUUUUGUAUUUAAUUUUGCAUUUUUUUGUAGAUAUUUAGUUUUUUAGACACUUGUAUGCUUUGUUGAAGAUUAUAUUUGAUAGAAUCAUAUGUACUUGUGUUUUAUUUGAAAUUUAUACAGGAUGUUC